RNAcentral lists this transfer RNA (72 nucleotides) under Bos taurus (domestic cattle). It matches the Rfam family "tRNA". From Rfam's summary of the family: Transfer RNA (tRNA) molecules are approximately 80 nucleotides in length. Their secondary structure includes four short double-helical elements and three loops (D, anti-codon, and T loops). The record is from Rfam by way of RNAcentral. Lineage: Eukaryota; Metazoa; Chordata; Mammalia; Artiodactyla; Bovidae.
UCCCUGGUGGCUCAGACAGUAAAGAAUCUGCCUACAACGCAGGAGACCCAGGUUCAAUCCCUGGACUAGGAA